Long non-coding RNA from Sinocyclocheilus anshuiensis, 828 nucleotides. RefSeq lists it as uncharacterized. The record is from RefSeq and is a predicted model, not a curated record. The transcript has 2 exons. Lineage: Eukaryota; Metazoa; Chordata; Actinopteri; Cypriniformes; Cyprinidae.
AUAGGCUGGUGCUUGUGGACAGAGAAGAUGUGGUUCGGGGAAUAAUCUCUCUCUCAGACCUGCUGCAGGCCAUAGUUUUAUCUCCAGCAGGUAUUGAUGCCCUGUUUUCCUAGCCUGAGAGGAGAUGUUUUCUCCUGUUACCUCAUCUAACCAGCACUAGUAUCCAGGUAUUCACAACCAGUGAGCAGUAACUGAAAACACUUAUAUGCAAUGCUAAUGACAGAAAAUUGCUGAUGACUAGAGUUCUCCCUGCAUGUUUGUGCAUGUGCGUGACCUGUUUGUUGGUUGUAUGAGUAUUUGAAUGUUUGAGAAUACACUGGUGGGUCAGGGACCUUUAACCCCAGUGUGUUUGGGAGCACAGCCACUGUCCUGUCCUGUCCCCUCUGUGCUGAUAUUGUUGCUGUACUUCAGAGUAGGAAUACCAUGGUAUUAUCUAGUUCAGAAAAGCAUGGUAAUACCAUGCUACUUUCUGUAAGUGUAUUCUCUUAUCCUGUUUCAGGUUUUUAAAGCAGAUAAAGUAUGACUGCAAGCAAGAAUGAGGAAAGGAGCUCUUUUUUACAUUAUACACUCAUAUUGUAAAAUAUGUUCAGUUUGGAUUACGUAAAGUGUAUAAUAUAUUAAGCAACACAUUUCUCAUUUAACCGAGAGAUUGUUUGUGAUAAAUGAGUACUGACAAAAGGAAACUUGCAUUUUGUUUUCAUGUAGAAGUGAGCACAUGGGCUUGGAUUCUGAUCAAAUUGAUCAUCUAGUUUGCCUUUUUGUGCUAUGUUAUGAAAUGUAUUGUCAGAUUAUCAUGUUUUGUUUUAAUAAACAAUUCCUUGUGCUCUU